UACGAAGGGGGCUAGCGUUGUUCGGAUUUACUGGGCGUAAAGCGCACGUAGGCGGAUCGUUAAGUCGGGGGUGAAAUCCUGGAGCUCAACUCCAGAACUGCCUUCGAUACUGGCGAUCUUGAGUCCGGAAGAGGUGAGUGGAACUCCUAGUGUAGAGGUGGAAUUCGUAGAUAUUAGGAAGAACACCAGUGGCGAAGGCGGCUCACUGGUCCGGUACUG
RNAcentral lists this ribosomal RNA (219 nucleotides) under uncultured bacterium. Its description in RNAcentral is "partial 16S ribosomal RNA". It matches the Rfam family "Bacterial small subunit ribosomal RNA", at positions 524 to 742 of the family's 1533-position model. The record is from RNAcentral.